Papaver somniferum (opium poppy) is the source of this 1182-nucleotide long non-coding RNA. RefSeq lists it as uncharacterized. The transcript is spliced from 2 exons. The record is from RefSeq and is a predicted model, not a curated record. Lineage: Eukaryota; Viridiplantae; Streptophyta; Magnoliopsida; Ranunculales; Papaveraceae.
CGUAACCAUGAGCAGAACUCCACCACCAGUCGAAACUACCAACUACCGCCACGUUCUUUUCUUCUUAUUGUAUUAUUCUUCUUUUUCUUCCUUCUCUUUUUACUUUUUUUAACAAGCAUCAAGAAGUAUAACCAUCAACAGAUUCAACACGACUAUUUUCAGUUGAGAAGAAGAUUUUCGAUCAAAAUCACGUCAAAUCGUUGACUACAAAAUGUGAUUAUAGUUAAUGGAUGGACAGAUUUGGAUGAUUGAAGUGAAUAAAAAAUUGGGUAUAUUGCAGUUCGUGCUAGAUUACAAUUCUAGUGUGCGUAAAGAAUUGACAGUGCAUGAAAUUGAUGUUGCUGCCGUAAAUGUGGACUGAAAGAGAUUUUGGGUUAGUGUUUGUUCCAAAGGGGUUAAUAGGAGUUUGAUAGUUCUGAAUCUUCCGAUGGGUUUAGGAGACUUUGGUUUCUUAUCUAAAGAAAUCAUCGAAAGAUGGGACCGGUUGUUUAUACUAAAACUCGUAGCGGUGAAGAUUUUGGUUGGAUAUUUAUGUGAUGGUAAACCAAUUAAAGUAGAUGAACAAAUUUUUUGUAUUCCAUAGGUUUUGAUACGGAAUAUUUUUGGUUCUGUAUCUAUACAAUCUCCAAGUGCAUUACGAACUCCGUGAAAAUCAAUAAUUGCAUCAAUAUGGAUAAUGUGAGAAGAAGAAAGCUUUUUAUAAGGAUGAUAAGGAUAGUGAUAAAUUGAAUUGCAGUUUGAUGAAAUUGGUAAUGGAGAUUUUAAGAUUUUGAUUGAAUGACCGUGAAUAAGAAGAUGAUGAAAUAACUGAAGAACAGUGGAACUAGGUAUUUACGUUAGUUUUUAUGGAUGAAUGCCUAUGAUUGUUGAGUGUUUUAGAUUCACGGUAUGAUUAUGAAACUUGGGUUCUUAUUAGAACUCAAAUUUGUAUGUGGAGGAAGAUAUUAAAGGGGUUACAAAUACAGCAAUAAAGUCACAUUUUCAUCACCAGCAGAAGCAUAGUAGGUGUUCGCCAAAAGUCUUGAAUGAGUAGAACACCUCGAUUCAAGUCACAUUGGAACCGUUUGAUCAAUUUAUUUGUAGCCAUAAAAUUAAAUUUCAUUUUUCUUAACAUCACGUGCUAACGGUGUUAAUGCACCGUUAAGUAAUUAAUGUUUAUUAAUAAUUGAACUAUUUAAGUAA